Molecule: ribosomal RNA, 304 nt
Filed under: uncultured bacterium
Lineage: Bacteria
Description: partial 16S ribosomal RNA
Rfam family: Bacterial small subunit ribosomal RNA
Source: RNAcentral
CAGCAGUCGCCACGGGAACACGGAGGGAGCUAGCGUUAUUCGGAAUUACUGGGCGUAAAGCGCACGUAGGCGGCUUUGUAAGUUAGAGGUGAAAGCCUGGAGCUCAACUCCAGAAUUGCCUUUAAGACUGCAUCGCUUGAAUCCAGGAGAGGUGAGUGGAAUUCCGAGUGUAGAGGUGAAAUUCGUAGAUAUUCGGAAGAACACCAGUGGCGAAGGCGGCUCACUGGACUGGUAUUGACGCUGAGGUGCGAAAGCGUGGGGAGCAAACAGGAUUAGAUACCCGCGUAGUCCCUGUCUCUUAUAC